UCGUGCCAGCAGCAGCGGUAAUACGAGUGCCCCAAGCGUUACCCGGAUUUAUUGGGCGUAAAGCGUGUGCAGGCGGUUUAUUAAGUCAAUGGUCAAAUCCUCCGGCUCAACCGGAGAACUGCCGUUGAUACUGAUAGACUAGAGGCUGGAAGAGGCAAGCGGAAUUGCUGGUGUAGGGGUCAAAUCCGUUAAUAUCAGCAGGAACACCAAAUGCGAAGGCAGCUUGCUAGGACAGACCUGACGCUAAUACACGAAAGCGUGGGGAGCGAAGCGGAUUAGAUACCCGCGUAGUCCACGCCGUAAACGAUGGAUACUAGACAUUGGGAGUUUCGACCCUCUCAGUGUCGUUGACAAAAGCUAACGCGUUAAGUAUCCCGCCUGGGGAGUACGGCCGCAAGGCUAAAACUCAAAGGAAUUGACGGGGACUCGCACAAGCGGUGGAGCACGUGGUUUAAUUCGACGCUAAGCGAAAAACCUUACCAAGGCUUGACAUAUAGCUGCACGCCUCCAGAAAUGGAGGAAGCUUUCGAAGGUGCUAUACAGAUGCUGCAUGGUUGCCGUCAGCUCGUGUCGUGAGAUGUACGGUUAAGUCCGGAAACGAGCGCAACCCCUAUCCUAAUUUGUACUUUAUUAGGAAACUGCCUCGGUCAACGAGGAGGAAGGUGGGGACGACGUCAAAUCAGCAUGGCUCUUACGCCUUGGGCUACACACAUGCUACAAUGGCCAAUACAGGGGGUUGCCAAAUCGCAAGAUGGAGCUAAUCCCGUCAAAGUUGGUCUCAGUUCGGUUUGUGGUCUGCAACUCGACCACA
This 811-nucleotide ribosomal RNA is filed under the name uncultured organism. RNAcentral describes it as "bacterial SSU rRNA". It matches the Rfam family "Bacterial small subunit ribosomal RNA", at positions 503 to 1320 of the family's 1533-position model. The record is from RNAcentral.